RNAcentral lists this ribosomal RNA (168 nucleotides) under uncultured Asaia sp. RNAcentral's name for it is "partial 16S ribosomal RNA". It matches the Rfam family "Bacterial small subunit ribosomal RNA", at positions 339 to 524 of the family's 1533-position model. Lineage: Bacteria; Pseudomonadati; Pseudomonadota; Alphaproteobacteria; Acetobacterales; Acetobacteraceae. The record is from RNAcentral.
CUACGGGAGGCAGCAGUGGGGAAUAUUGGACAAUGGGCGAAAGCCUGAUCCAGCAAUGCCGCGUGUGUGAAGAAGGUCUUCGGAUUGUAAAGCACUUUCGACGGGGACGAUGAUGACGGUACCCGUAGAAGAAGCCCCGGCUAACUUCGUGCCAGCAGCCGCGGUAAU